CAGGAGUUACACGACGGAAGUCUCUCUGA
This 29-nucleotide non-coding RNA is filed under the name Mus musculus (house mouse). The record is from RNAcentral. Lineage: Eukaryota; Metazoa; Chordata; Mammalia; Rodentia; Muridae.